GGUCUGCAACCCGACCUCUUGAAGCCGGAAUCGCUAGUAAUCGCAGGUCAGACAUACUGCGGUGAAUACGUUCUCAAGUCUUGUACUCACUGCCCGUCAAGUCAGGGGAGCCGGGAGUACCCGAAAUCUGCCUCAGGUAGAUCAAGGUAAGCUUGGUGACAAGGAUUAAGUCGUAACAAGGCACGGGUAGCGGAAGCUGCUCGUGGAU
Molecule: ribosomal RNA, 208 nt
Filed under: Candidatus Vogelbacteria bacterium
Lineage: Bacteria; Candidatus Vogeliibacteriota
Description: partial 16S ribosomal RNA
Rfam family: Bacterial small subunit ribosomal RNA
Source: RNAcentral